AGAGUUUGAUUAUGGCUCAGGACGAACGCUGGCGGCAUGCCUAACACAUGCAAGUCGAACGGGGGUAGCAAUACCCUAGUGGCGAACGGGUGAGUAACACAUAAGCAAUCUGCCCUUCACAGGGGGAUAACAGCGGGAAACUGCUGCUAAUACCGCAUAAGACCACGGUACCGCAUGGUACAAGGGGUAAAAAACGAAUCAGUGGUGAAGGAUGAGCUUAUGUCCCAUUAGCUAGUUGGUGAGAUAACAGCCCCACCAAGGCGACGAUGGGUAGCCGACCUGAGAGGGUGAUCGGCCACACUGGAACUGAGACACGGUCCAGACUCCUACGGGAGGCAGCAGGUGGGGAAUAUUGGGCAAUGGGAAAGGAAACUCUUACCCAGCAAUGCCGCGUGAGUGAAGAAGGUCUUCGGAUUGUAAAGCUUCUUUGAGUUGGGGACGAAGAAAGUGACGGUAACCCAAAGAACAACGCCCCGGCUAACUACGUGCCAGCCGCCGC
Molecule: ribosomal RNA, 499 nt
Filed under: uncultured bacterium
Lineage: Bacteria
Description: bacterial SSU rRNA
Rfam family: Bacterial small subunit ribosomal RNA
Source: RNAcentral